Molecule: ribosomal RNA, 496 nt
Filed under: uncultured bacterium
Lineage: Bacteria
Description: partial 16S ribosomal RNA
Rfam family: Bacterial small subunit ribosomal RNA
Source: RNAcentral
AUGCACGCUGGCGGCGUGCCUAAUACAUGCAAGUCGAGCGAACAGACGAGGAGCUUGCUCCUCUGACGUUAGCGGCGGACGGGUGAGUAACACGUGGAUAACCUACCUAUAAGACUGGGAUAACUUCGGGAAACCGGAGCUAAUACCGGAUAAUAUAUAGAACCGCAUGGUUCAAUAGUGAAAGACGGUUUUGCUGUCACUUAUAGAUGGAUCCGCGCCGCAUUAGCUAGUUGGUAAGGUAACGGCUUACCAAGGCAACGAUGCGUAGCCGACCUGAGAGGGUGAUCGGCCACACUGGAACUGAGACACGGUCCAGACUCCUACGGGAGGCAGCAGUAGGGAAUCUUCCGCAAUGGGCGAAAGCCUGACGGAGCAACGCCGCGUGAGUGAUGAAGGUCUUCGGAUCGUAAAACUCUGUUAUUAGGGAAGAACAAAUGUGUAAGUAACUAUGCACGUCUUGACGGUACCUAAUCAGAAAGCCACGGCUAACUACGUG